This 468-nucleotide ribosomal RNA is filed under the name uncultured bacterium. Its description in RNAcentral is "partial 16S ribosomal RNA". It matches the Rfam family "Bacterial small subunit ribosomal RNA", at positions 28 to 507 of the family's 1533-position model. The record is from RNAcentral.
GACGAACGCUGGCGGCGUGCUUAACACAUGCAAGUCGAACGGUGAAGCUCCAGCUUGCUGGAGUGGAUCAGUGGCGAACGGGUGAGUAACACGUGAGCAACCUGCCCCUGACUCUGGAAUAAGCGCUGGAAACGGAGUCUAAUACUGGAUACGAGAAGGGUCCGCAUGGGCACUUUCUGGAAAGUUUUUCGGUUGGGGAUGGGCUCGCGGCCUAUCAGCUUGUUGGUGAGGUAAUGGCUCACCAAGGCGACGACGGGUAGCCGGCCUGAGAGGGCGACCGGCCACACUGGGACUGAGACACGGCCCAGACUCCUACGGGAGGCAGCAGUGGGGAAUAUUGCACAAUGGGCGAAAGCCUGAUGCAGCGACGCCGCGUGAGGGAUGACGGCCUUCGGGUUGUAAACCUCUUUCAGCAGGGAAGAAGCGAAAGUGACGGUACCUGCAGAAGAAGCACCGGCUAACUACGUG